AAAGAUUAUCUCUUUUUCUUUUCUUGCAAAUGGAGCUCAGAUAUGUUAUGAUAAGGCAAAGAGAAGCCAACUAUGCCAUGGCUGCAAAACACCAGUUGCAAGUAAGAGACAGAAAUCUCAAUCACAGGCCAUACAGGGUUGCCACGCCAAGAAAAGGGUUGGGUCAUCUCUAUGCCCAAAUCGGUUAGCCCAGAUACAAGAAACAUCAUCAUCACUGCCUCUUUAUGUAACUUCCAUCAGCAACAUAA
This 248-nucleotide long non-coding RNA is filed under the name Nicotiana benthamiana. RNAcentral's name for it is "long non-coding RNA (NBEN_LNC001233)". The record is from RNAcentral. Lineage: Eukaryota; Viridiplantae; Streptophyta; Magnoliopsida; Solanales; Solanaceae.